CCCUUAGAUGUCCUGGGCCGCACGCGCGUUACACUGAUGCAUUCAACGAGCUUAUAACCUUGGCCGAGAGGCCUGGGCAAUCUUGUUAACGUGCAUCGUGAUAGGGAUAGAUUAUUGAAAUUAUUAAUCUUGAACGAGGAAUUCCUAGUAAACGCAGAUCAUCAGACUGCAUCGAUUACGUCCCUGCCCUUUGUACACACCGCCCGUCGCUCCUACCGAUUGAAUGCUCAGGUGAGCCAUUCGGACUUUCAUCAUGCUGGUUUCCAGUUUUGAUGAAGGAAAGUCUUGCGAACCUUAUCAUUUAGAGGAAGGAGAAGUCGUAACA
Molecule: ribosomal RNA, 325 nt
Filed under: uncultured eukaryote
Lineage: Eukaryota
Description: partial 18S ribosomal RNA
Rfam family: Eukaryotic small subunit ribosomal RNA
Source: RNAcentral